Molecule: ribosomal RNA, 392 nt
Filed under: Gymnocanthus galeatus (armorhead sculpin)
Lineage: Eukaryota; Metazoa; Chordata; Actinopteri; Perciformes; Cottidae
Description: partial 12S ribosomal RNA
Rfam family: Bacterial small subunit ribosomal RNA
Source: RNAcentral
GCCUGUUCUAGAACCGAUAACCCCCGUUCAACCUCACCCUUCCUUGUUUAACCCGCCUAUAUACCGCCGUCGUCAGCUUACCCUGUGAAGGACUAAUAGUAAGCAAAACUGGUACAACCUAAAACGUCAGGUCGAGGUGUAGCGUAUGGAGGGGGAAGAAAUGGGCUACAUUCGCUACUACAGCGAACACGAAUGAUAUACUGAAACGUAAAUCUGAAGGAGGAUUUAGCAGUAAGCAGGAAAUAGAGCGUCCCGCUGAAACUGGCCCUGAAGCGCGCACACACCGCCCGUCACUCUCCCCAAAAACACCAAUCAAUUAACUAAAACCUAAUAAUUAAAAAGGGGAGGCAAGUCGUAACAUGGUAAGUGUACCGGAAGGUGCGCUUGGAAAA